Molecule: long non-coding RNA, 273 nt
Organism: Myotis davidii
Lineage: Eukaryota; Metazoa; Chordata; Mammalia; Chiroptera; Vespertilionidae
Exons: 2
Source: RefSeq, a predicted model, not a curated record
GGGACGGCGUGCAGCGGAACCACAAGAUGGACUUCCAAGGUUUGCUCCGCCAGCUGGACAUCAAUAACGAGGACGACGUCGAGUCUUUGUCUCCCGUGAUAGCUCACGUGUUUAGUGACGGAGUAACAACCUGGGGCAGGAUUGUGGCUCUUAUUUCUUUUGGUGCCUUUGUGGCCAAACACUUGAAGAGUAUAAACCAAGAAAGCUGCAUUGACCCGUUAGCAGAAAGCAUCACAGAUGUUCUCGUAAGGACGAAGCGAGACUGGCUAGUGA